Molecule: ribosomal RNA, 4787 nt
Filed under: Triticum aestivum (bread wheat)
Lineage: Eukaryota; Viridiplantae; Streptophyta; Magnoliopsida; Poales; Poaceae
Description: partial small subunit ribosomal RNA
Source: RNAcentral
CCGACCCAUUCGACAAAGCUCCACGCCCACACGGGAGAGGGGCGUGCGGCGUACGCGCAGCACGGUAAACGCCCUCGCACCCAUCGGUACGGGAGCUUUCGUGGAACCAGGUUAGGGUAGCGGGGCGUACGGUGUUGGGGAGGGAGGGAGAAGCUAGAGAGAGGGAGGAGUCGGCGGUGUUUGGGAUCGGGGGAAAGGAUGCUAGGUCGGCAGCGAUGGGGAGGAGGUAGGUUGGAGGUAGCAGUCGGCGGCGGCGGCGAUGCCGAGGAGGCAGGUGGCUGAGGCAGGCACGUCCACCGGUCAAAGGAAGGCGGAGCUGGAAGAGGUGCCAGAGGGGUCAAGUGGGGGGUAGGGAACGACGGGCUCCACGAGUAGAAGGGUCCAGCACUCCUUCGGCGCACCCCUACCUUGGUGGUGCAGCACGGCGACCCCCUUCGGAACCUAGGUGCGUCCCCCGGAGGGGCCCCCGCGUCUCCUCCCCAACACCUCCGCACUCCGGUCUUCCUGGGGAGAACGCAGCGAGCAGAGGUGGAGUAUAGGCCGUAGAAACGACGGCGGUAUCUAGCUCCUCCUGCCGUGCUACUGCUGGUACUACAUAGCCUGUAGGGUCUAACUGCUACGGUACCUUCGGUACUCUCGACCGGUUCCUUCUCCCCCGUCACAGCGUCCGGUACUUCCCGUGCCGCCGACGCCCGCCUUCGUCGUACCCAACUUCCUCGCCGCCUACACCCGCCCCAGCCUCCAACCCCCUCUGAGCAGCCGACCCGCUGUCGCUCGCGGCCACUCACGUUCGUACACAAAGGUUUUCGCAGUAGAGAAUGUUCCGUCCGUUCCUGCUGCAGCAGCGGGAGCGUCCAAGAUGCUAGACAGUGUAGAGACAAGAGGAGCAAUUCCAAAAACACCCACGAUAGUACCACAAACCAGACGACUAGUAAAAUUACAAGACUCUCCCCUCCGCCGGUUACUGUCCCUCUUCCUCCUCCGACAACUCCUCACGUUCGUCUUCCAAAGGCCACUGACCUUCAGACUUUGACUUCUGUCCCGUAUAACAAAACCAAUACUCACCAACCUUUAUAACACCGAACUACAGGGAUCUCGUCAGUCUGGGAAGGUUCUAUCCACAAUUUUAGGAUCCACGGUUCCCGUAACACCACCACGUUAGGUACAGAGGACGCUCGCGAGCCGUACCGCAGGUAUCGGGGUUUCUCGUUCCGAAGUUCCAAGAAAAGUAACUUACUGAACUAAACAAAGAGGAUACAACACGAGCUAAUGAUUGACUUUGACAUCGAGACGAUACAUAGUCCGACCUGUUGUUCGAAGUGAACUACUUUCGUAAAGGGAAGAUUUUAUCUCAUUACGACUCUAAUUACGUGUUCAAUCAGAACUAUGAUUCCACCAAUACCCUAACGAACUAGAUACGAUCCGGUUAUACAGUCGGUUGGUGAAUUUUUAUUAGUGAACGUAAAGAAGGAUACUUGAGACUUUGGACUGCUCACUGCUGCGUAUUUUUUAAUCGUUAUCUUCCACAGUCACUUGUGCUCAUGAGUCAGUUCUCGUUAUAUCGCCAUCUAUGAAAUGUCACAUUAAAAUAUAUUCUUAUUUAUUUACCGUGAAUUCAACAAUUCUUUAACAACAACCUCAUAACAGAGUGGGAAAUAGAUGAGAGAGCUUUUGACACCUAACGAUACCCGACCUCGAGGUCCCCUCCUCCCUCCAUUCGCACCUACGUUACCUAUAACAAGCCUAUUUUUCAACCCACCUUUGACUCAUCACUGCCACUCUGAAUAAGGUAAACAAAGAGGAAACGGGAAAAUUAGUUCUUGUUGCAAGUCUCGAACGUACCAACAGCUUUAUAUUAAGACAUUUUCUCUUUAUAACUAUAGUACGUUACUAGUUACGUCUCAUCCUAUCAAUAUCUCAAGAAGGAAUCAAAAGUAACUCGUUUCUAACCUAGACACGCUAAACAAGAUUAUGGUUCAUUUAGAACCAGACGUAUCAAAAAAAGGAUAUAAGAAAAUUUUUUUAACCCUGAACUACACUUUUUCCCACACACAACUGUACGUACAUUGGUUUAGUACCUAAUUACGCUCCAUGAUAUAUAUGAACGGAUAGAGAGACGUUUUCGAAUACCGGGAGAAACUAUGCUGAUCCUUGUAGUUUUGGUUUACCCUAAAUAAACUCACAUGAAGUCUACCGGUAUGAUAUUCACGUGGUAAUGAUUUAUCAUAUACUUAGAAGGAACAUAUUAAUUCUACGUGAAAGAUGUAUCGCGAAGAUAUAUAACUAUGACACACUAGUGAAUUGUAUUUAGACCGAUCCGCUAAACGAGCGGAUUAAGAGACCAACGUAUAUUAGGCUAGGACUAUCACUGUACUAAAUGAGACAAACUAGUUUGUCCAUCUUCGGUUUCGACAAAAUGCACUUAGAUUACUGCAGGGGCGACGAUAUUCGAUCCUCAAACUAUUUAAGUUGUAACCGUUAGACCAGAACACGAGAAGCAGGUUUUCGUAUAAGACUAUCACUCUAAGAAUAACACCUACAAAGUCGCAGUUGGACUUAAAACAAAUUGGAUGAUGUCUUUCUGGAAGAUCCCACUAAUCGACGUCAUGACACUGUUUAUUACUUUUUUUGAGUCACAGAAGAGUAAAUUAUAAGAUCGACGUUGAUGAACUGAUGUUCAAAAUACACCUUAAAAAGACAUGUCGAACGUGUUUGAGUCACUCUAGCCCUUAGUAGUAGAGUGUAAAAAAAGAGAACUUUCCAUCCACAGUAGAGGAUGUAAAAAAAGAGUCUUAAUUCGUACAAAGAUUCGGAACGAACUUUCAAAGAGUAAUAAUUGAAUUGUUGGUUGGACCUGCCGUUUUUAAAUGAAGUGAACCAUUGUCCCCAACCUGUGGCUUUCGAACGAUAGAUUAAAAGAAGAGACAUCUACUUUUGUUCAUGCGGAUAUCAACCUGUGACUUUCAAACGGUUUUAAUAAAAAUCUCGACAUAUCACAAAUGCAAUUACAUUUAGGAACGAGUACAAUGUGGAAAGAACAAGAAUACCUCUUUUUUAAUCGUAUAAUUGGUAAAGAUAUGAAAAAACAGGAAAAGAAAAUUAUGUCAUCACAGGUCCGAAUACCUAAGGAUAUAAAAAUAACAGUUAGAUCGUAUGAAUACAGUGAGGGGAGAACAAAAUCGACAACUACCUACUAAAAACGGUAAAUAGAAAUAAGGGUAAAAUAUAUAACACUAAUGACGAAGUAAUAAAUAGUUGACUCCGUACAACAACACGUGAAGAAUGACUACUACUAGGACCACAACAAACAAACUCUUUUCUUUCUCUGUUGAGCUACACGUAUAAAUAGGAAUAUAACAAGUUAAUAUUACCCUACUUCAUUGAAUUACUGACUAUCACAACAACCGUCACUAUCUGUUAUCCGUUAAAUGAUCUCGUCAAGUUCGUUCUUAUGAAGGUCUUAUGUAGAACACUAGACAACCAUUGUUGUGGUUCAAACGGUUGAACAAGUUGGUUUGUUUCACAUAUUGUACGAAGUAAAAACGUUCAUAUCUUCUUCCUUUUCUCUCGUAACCUAAAACUCAAUUGCUUUAUAUAAACGUUUUUUCUCUCAAUUACUUUAUAAGAGUUAGUUCUUUUGAGUUCCAGCCAAGUCAGUUGUCUUUUCUUAUUCCACUUUGGAGAACGCAAAAAAAUAAUCGCGUGUGUACCGAGAUUGUAAGCUAUCAACUAGAAAUAAAUAAGUGAGUUGCAACACAAUCGGUAUCUGGAGAGAGAGAGAGAGAGAGAGAGAGAGAGAGAGAGUUUGGUCGAAGAGUACGUUCUAGAAUAGGAUACGGUUCAAUAAGACACCCAUAGCAAAAUUUUAUAAAUAGAAACAACAAGGCGAAUCGAUGUGGUAGGAACUCACAAAAAAUACCUUAGAUCUUUUGUUUCACGAAACGAAGAAAGGAAUUAACCAAGUACCAAGGUCCACACGCAACCUGUCACAGUGACUCCCAGGUCAAAGAGUAAAAAGUCUAAAACAUCAUCGUCUCUACACAUCUAUUGACUUGACCACAAAUCCGCAAAGUCACGUCCUGACGAUGAACGAGCUAAUCAAUCUACUUGACCACAAAUCUCUAAAGUCACGUCUCACUACAAAGUCAAAACUAACGUCCCGAAGCUCUACGUGGCACUCCCGACUUUGCUCAGAAUAUGGCCCAGAAAGUACUUAAAUCAAUCGGAUUUAUGAAGGUCUUAGGGAGAACGUUAUACAUUUUCUUCCUUUUAUCUUGUAACCUCCUUUUCGGUCGUCUCACCUAAGAAAUUCGAAAGAGUUUACAAACUUGUUCCUUUUCUAUCAAUGUUAGUAAAAAGAGAGCGGAACAAUGUAGAACUACAAUUAUCCGAAACCUUCCAUGAUACGUGGGGCAAGUUCCAAAUGUCUUAAACGUGCUAGGAUAAUGUCAAACAAGACUACUGUCUUAACUGAUCAAGAAGGAACUCCUUUAAUUAUAAAGUCGACGAUGAGGAAACACGUAACAAUGUAUCUCAAUAUCAACACUUCUACACAUGCGUAGUUGUAUAUUAAGGGUGGUAGGAUAAUGUCAAACCAGACUGCUGCUUUAGCUCGUCGAGAAUGAACUCAUUUAACAUGUCGAGAAGGAACUCAUUUAAUCAUAACGCCAAUGAUUCGGAAACACGUAAGACUAUGUCGAGAGGACUUUAUGAUGAAUACGAGAAAUUUGGGUUUCGACUGAAAUGUAGUAAAAACAAGAGUAGGCAAGAGGGCUUAAAAUCAGGCG